This 298-nucleotide long non-coding RNA is filed under the name Amborella trichopoda. RNAcentral describes it as "long non-coding RNA (ATRI_LNC003830)". Lineage: Eukaryota; Viridiplantae; Streptophyta; Magnoliopsida; Amborellales; Amborellaceae. The record is from RNAcentral.
UCUAGGGACCGAUCUUUUGUUCCUACUUUUCGUUUUUUGGUUGUGCGCCGCCGCCUUACCAUAAUUUGCUUGCUAUUCAUAUGGGUUGUUCCAUGGAAUAAAGAAAAGAAAGAAUAGGUGAUUGCAGAAAAGAAAGAACGUUGCAGAUGGGUUGUUCCAUGGAGAAGUUGUCUUGGGUGAUGGAGCUCUUGAUUUGAUUGUUUAUUUGCAGGGCUUUGUGGUGAUUCUAAGGGUCUUAGAUAGUGGGUGGAGUUGGAUCUUUCGAGUUUUAGAGUUUAGGAUGUGUUUUGAAGUCACG